GACGAACGCUGGCGGCGUGCCUAAUACAUGCAAGUCGAACGCUGAAGGAGGAGCUUGCUUCUCCGGAUGAGUUGCGAACGGGUGAGUAACGCGUAGGUAACCUGCCUGGUAGCGGGGGAUAACUAUUGGAAACGAUAGCUAAUACCGCAUAAGAGUAGAUGUUGCAUGACAUUUGCUUAAAAGGUGCAAUUGCAUCACUACCAGAUGGACCUGCGUUGUAUUAGCUAGUUGGUGAGGUAACGGCACACCAAGGCGACGAUACAUAGCCGACCUGAGAGGGGGGUCGGCCACACUGGGACUGAGACACGGCCCAGACUCCUACGGGAGGCAGCAGUAGGGAAUCUUCGGCAAUGGACGGAAGUCUGACCGAGCAACGCCGCGUGAGUGAAGAAGGUUUUCGGAUCGUAAAGCUCUGUUGUAAGAGAAGAACGAGUGUGAGAGUGGAAAGUUCACACUGUGACGGUAUCUUACCAGAAAGAGACGGCUAACUACGUG
RNAcentral lists this ribosomal RNA (495 nucleotides) under uncultured bacterium. Its description in RNAcentral is "partial 16S ribosomal RNA". It matches the Rfam family "Bacterial small subunit ribosomal RNA", at positions 28 to 507 of the family's 1533-position model. The record is from RNAcentral.